ACUCAGUGAAAUUGAACUCGCUGUGAAGAUGCAGUGUACCCGCGGCAAGACGGAAAGACCCCGUGAACCUUUACUAUAGCUUGACACUGAACAUUGAGCCUUGAUGUGUAGGAUAGGUGGGAGGCUUAGAAGUGUGGACGCCAGUCUGCAUGGAGCCGACCUUGAAAUACCACCCUUUAAUGUUUGAUGUUCUAACGUUGACCCGUGAUCCGGGUUGCGGACAGUGUCUGGUGGGUAGUUUGACUGGGGCGGUCUCCUCCUAAAGAGUAACGGAGGAGCACGAAGGUUGGCUAAUCCUGGUCGGACAUCAGGAGGUUAGUGCAAUGGCAUAAGC
Molecule: ribosomal RNA, 334 nt
Filed under: Escherichia coli
Lineage: Bacteria; Pseudomonadati; Pseudomonadota; Gammaproteobacteria; Enterobacterales; Enterobacteriaceae
Description: bacterial LSU rRNA
Rfam family: Bacterial large subunit ribosomal RNA
Source: RNAcentral